AACGAACGCUGGCGGCGCGCCUAAUACAUGCAAGUCGAGCGAGAAGGUGUAGCAAUACACUGGUACAGCGGCGAACGGGUGAGGAAUACAUGGGUAACCUACCCUCGAGUGGGGAAUAACUAGCCGAAAGGUUAGCUAAUACCGCAUACGAUUCCCGAAUUGCGGUUCGGGAAAGAAAGCCAUACCGUGGGUAUGGCGCUCCUGGAUGGGCUCAUGUCCUAUCAGCUUGUUGGUGAGGUAACGGCUCACCAAGGCUUCGACGGGUAGCUGGUCUGAGAGGACGAUCAGCCACACUGGCACUGCGACACGGGCCAGACUCCUACGGGAGGCAGCAGUAAGGAAUAUUGCGCAAUGGGCGACAGCCUGACGCAGCGACGCCGCGUGGGGGAUGAAGGUCUUCGGAUUGUAAACCCCUUUCGGGAGGGAAGAGGGAAUGGGGUAACCCAUUCGGACGGUACCUCCAGAAGCAGCCACGGCUAACUUCGUGCCAGCAGCCGCCGUAACAC
Molecule: ribosomal RNA, 506 nt
Filed under: uncultured bacterium
Lineage: Bacteria
Description: bacterial SSU rRNA
Rfam family: Bacterial small subunit ribosomal RNA
Source: RNAcentral